This 61-nucleotide transfer RNA is filed under the name Megacampsomeris sp. 1 YJY-2023a. Its description in RNAcentral is "tRNA-Cys". The record is from RNAcentral. Lineage: Eukaryota; Metazoa; Arthropoda; Insecta; Hymenoptera; Scoliidae.
AAUCUUAUAGUUUAAAUUAAAACAUUAAAUUGCAAAUUUAAAAAUAUAUUAAUUAAGAUUU